GAUGAAGAACGUAGUGAAAUGCGAUAAGUAAUGUGAAUUGCAGAAUUCAGUGAAUCAUCGAAUCUUUGAACGCACCUUGCGCUCCUUGGUAUUCCUUGGAGCAUGCCUGUUUGAGUAUCAUGAAAUCUUCAAAGUCAAACCUUUUGUUAAUUCAAUUGGUUCUGCUUUGGUAUUGGAGGAUUAUUGCAGCUUCACACCUGCUCCUCUUUGUGCAUUAGCUGGAUCUCAGUGUUAUGCUUGGUGCCACUCAGCGUGAUAAGUUAUCUAUCGCUGAGGACACCCUGUUAAAAAGGGGUGGCCAAGGUAAAUGCAGAUGAACCGCUUCUAAUAGUCCAUUGACUUGGACAAUAUCUAAUUUAUGAUCUGAUCUCAAAUCAGGUAGGACUACCCGCUGAACUUAAGCAUAUCAAUAAGCGGAGGA
Molecule: unclassified non-coding RNA, 421 nt
Filed under: soil metagenome
Description: partial contains 5.8S ribosomal RNA, internal transcribed spacer 2, and large subunit ribosomal RNA
Rfam family: 5.8S ribosomal RNA (bases 1-120)
Source: RNAcentral